AAGUAAGCCUCCUUUUCAUCAGU
RNAcentral lists this non-coding RNA (23 nucleotides) under Arabidopsis thaliana (thale cress). Lineage: Eukaryota; Viridiplantae; Streptophyta; Magnoliopsida; Brassicales; Brassicaceae. The record is from RNAcentral.